CAGACUUCGUCACUCCUCGCAACACAUGUUUGAUCCCGUUGAAGUUGAACUCCAUUCUCAGAUUCAAGAAAUCCCAGAGAAUCGGUCCAAGAGUUGAAAGCCAUUGAACGCCUAGCACAAGUUCACAACAGUCAAGUGGGAGAGUCCUUAUCUCGGUAGUGAAAGAGUACCCUUGCACUGACCAAGUCAAGUUGCUGCAUUUGUGCGUCGUGAUCAAGUUGUUGCCGUUGG
Molecule: long non-coding RNA, 231 nt
Filed under: Brassica napus (rape)
Lineage: Eukaryota; Viridiplantae; Streptophyta; Magnoliopsida; Brassicales; Brassicaceae
Description: long non-coding RNA (BNAP_LNC015374)
Source: RNAcentral